Long non-coding RNA from Micropterus dolomieu (smallmouth bass), 3187 nucleotides. RefSeq lists it as uncharacterized. Lineage: Eukaryota; Metazoa; Chordata; Actinopteri; Centrarchiformes; Centrarchidae. The transcript has 6 exons. The record is from RefSeq and is a predicted model, not a curated record.
CUAUGUUUAUGCUAACCCUAACUUAGACUAACUUAAAGAGUUACCCUAAAUUACACUGGCAUUAAGUUACUUCAACUGUUGUAACGUUAAGCUAAUUAUGUAACGUUAGAGUUAGCACCGAGGUCCAUACCUAUUUAGACGGUAACAGACGUAAAUAUAACCAUGUGAGCUUGAGUCAGCUUGAAAACUUCCAAGAACAUAAUGUAACGCAUUAACGUUAACUUACCAUCAUAAUAUUAAGAGGUCAUUCUUAGCCAGCGGCAGCAACGAUACAGUUAGCUUAAAAACGAAAAAAACACAAUGCUAACUAGCGCAGUUUAAAAAUGUUAGCUAACAUUAGCCGAUAGCCAACCUAAAAUAGCCGGGUUUUAGUCCACUUUAACUCCUAUCCUAACGUAACAAGACAAAUCCUUUCCCACCACAGGGACUGGUAACAAUUACUGCACUCUGUCCGUUGAAUGCAACUACACAGAAACUUAAGUAUGCCAGUGGAGGACCUGCCCGGCAAAGAUUUACUGGCUACACAACUAGAAACUACCUAAACCAGCAUAAACGUUACAUGGUCAAUUCAUCCCUCAAGGCUAUUCUUCCUGUCUUCUCUUCGGCCAGAGUCUUCCAAAUUGUUGUCAUGUGAAAAUGAUGUGAUAUGGAUUUGACGGGGCAACAAAAAGGAAAAGAAAAAGAGAGCUGUGAGAAGGCGAGAGAAGUGGGGUGAGAAAUGUAAGAAGGCAGCGACUAAGAGAGGAUAAAAGAAACAGAAAGACAGCAGGAGAGAAAGAAGAGGAAGGACACCUGAUGCUAUAGGGUACAUGCAGUCCACGAUCUCUUGGAUCUGCGACAGCUCCAGGUUCUUCAUGAAGUCAUUGUCCAAGAUUGCCUCCUUGAUCAGAUCCUUGGACCUGGAGACGAGGUGAAUGAAAGCCAGCCGCAGUGAGGGAUGAAACCGUCAAAGCGAGCGUCAGUCUGAUCCUCUCGGACAGAAAGAAGUGUCAAGAGACAGAAGAGAAAUCCGACCAGAUUCUAAACAGCGAUCCAAGAUCACUCAUUCAUUGAGGCAUAUCAUAACCAGAGUCUGAGUUGCUCGGCUGAGCACUGCGUCGCUGGUUUUGACAGAGUGUCAUCUGGAUGAAUGAGGUUAAUAAUAUGUAUCAAGGUUAAUCCAACAAGGAGUCCCCUCCUCCCGGGAAGUCAAGCUUUUAUACCCUAAUUCAUAAAAACGACAGAAAGCCCCCUUCUAUCCCCUGUUAGUAGGAUUCAAAAGCACUGAAUUGCCUCUUGCCUUUUUGUGCUCGGUGCCCUUUUCACACCUGAGGAGCUUAUAGCUAAAAGAGCAAAUAACCUGGAAGGCAUUUAUGAAGCAGUGCUCCCACUACACACAGGCUUCUCUGCCCCACUGCCAGCCCGCAGCAAUGUCCUGCACAAACCACACAACUACACAAACAAAACUUGAAGCACUAAAAUGUCAGUGUCUGCCAUGAUGAAACACCAGCAAUGAUUUAUUUACUGAGCACUCUGCGCAUGUCUGUGUCUUUAAAACAUUGAACUUAAAGUCACAUGAAUGCCUCUCGAUUCAAUCCUGAGACACAUGAUCAAAUCUGGGGAGAAACAGUGGUGCUCCCUCAGAUGAAAAACUUGGGUCUGAAAUAGCAGUCUAAAAUAUAAAUAACGUGGUUCUCAUUGUGUGUGUUUUGCAUUUAACAGCGUGAUGCAUUUUCAAUUAAGGUUUCAAGGCCUGCGGGUCCCCAAACAGCUCUGCUUUUACUCUCUGACAGCAGUAACACUUGUGGAAUAAAGUGAGAAACUAAAUUACUAAAGAACAGCAUUAGCUAGUUGUCACAAUCUAUUGGAAAACACAUAUUACUUAUUUAAUUUAAACAAAGUAUAACCCGACAAAAGAGAAAGAUGAAAGAGACAGAGGGUUAACUAGCAUCCAGAAUCUCAGGAUUGUAAUUGAUCUGAACCUAGGAGAGUGCAGUUGCAACUCUAACGGAGCAACCGGGAUGAUCCAAAGGUUCCUCUUGAGAUAUUUUCCAUUGUAGCCUUUGAGAAUCAAAACAAGUUACUCCUGGGAAUUGCAAAGAGAAAACUGAGGUGUUGCACCUAUUUUUAAAUUCCUACCAUGAAAUCUAUGUUCAGAUGUGCACUGUGCUUCCCAAACCUUCUUCGUUUUUUUCCAGCAACGAGUCUUAUGCAUUUUAUGCUAGCAGCACUCUGCAUGUUAGCUAAACCAACAAGAACAAAUUGGAAAUGCAUUGUUUUCCAAAGUUGACCUCCAGUCCUUUGGAAAUGUGCCUCUUUGGCCCCGUUUCUCUUACAUUUAAACCCAGGAGAUUUCUGAUCUUUUCAACCCUGAUCAGGACCCCCCGACUUGAACCUCAGAUGUCUUCCAACCAGACCCUUAUAAAAACAACUGCCUUCCUCUCCUUUGUGAGGAUGAUAUAGUUGCCUCCAUCCACUAGUGAAGUUUGGGGCUAAGCAGCCUUCCUUAAAAGGAGAAAAUAUGCUCUUUUAGGAGGAAAAAAGAAGAGGGGUGGCAGCAAAGUGGGAGAGGCUAAUGGAAAUAAGGCAGACAGAGGGAGAGGGAUGGAUAGCGUAUGUGUAAGGAACACUCUAUGGGCCUUGUAAAGAAGAUGAAGUGGAUGAGAAUGAAGGGAAAUAUAAACAUUUAGCCAAAUCCAACAGGCGUUAUCACUACACUUCAAUAACCCAAACAAAAUGAAAAUUUAACAGAGCUGUUUUUAUCCCAUGAGGGCACUUGCGCGUUUUAUAAAAAAAAGAUAACCUUUCAAUUUUCUAUUGAGCAACAACAAAAGUUAGCAUCACACAAAAAACUACUUUGAUUCAAAUGAAUUGCUCUAUAUCAAGAGAAAAACAUGAACUUCAUCAAGUUGCUCAAGCACACAUGACCAAACAGACUGAAUGGUGAUAAUAAUCUUGAACUAAUAAGAGAACACUGUCUCAGCAGGCAUUUCCAUUUGCUUUCAAUAGUCUGUCUGCUUUUCCGUCAACAUUUUUAAUGUAGAUGCUUAUUAGAAGAUGUCAGUCUCAUUCCCUGCGCCGAUGGAGAGUGUGAAGAGGUGUCGCAGACGCGCCGCAGAAAAUUGAAGCUGCAGCUGAAAGGCUUUGAUUGAAGUUUUCCUGUGAGGUCACACUCGUCACUUUCAAUGACAAAUCUUAAACUACCCUU